UCUUUCAUCAUUCAAGAAAUUCUCUCAAAAUUGCUUUCUUCUUCUUCUUCUUCUUCCCCUUCUUCCAUCGACGUUGCUUCAUCUUAUUUUCUAUUUUCAUUCUUUUUCGUCCACUGCUUCAUUUUCGUCCUUGUCCGCUACUUCUUGGUCCUCUUCUUCUUCUUAAUCCUUCUUCCGCUGUCGCUACAAGUCCUUCUUGCCACAUCUUUUUUCUAUCACUACAUCAGUAACUAUUCAACUUCAAAAGAUUGAAAUUGGGAAUGAAGGAAAGGAAUUUGACAUACAAACAUGAGUGACCGAAACACAAGAUGAUUUCAAAUUUAUUCCAACUCUACCUUUGGAAACCCCAAAAACACAAAAAUUGACACCAGAGUUGGAUGAUGGAAAGGAAAAGUAAAUUGAAUUUGAAGCUAUGGAACAUGUGGAAAAAACUGAUCACCUUCACCAUAAGCCUGUAAAAGAAGGAGAGAAUGUUGUUGAACGAGAAGAGCAUGUUGGUAAGGAAGAGGGGCGAGUUGUUGAGGAAGACGUUGAAGAAGAAAAUGAGAAUGAAAAGAAUAGAAGACUUGAAAAUAAAAUAAAACAACUAAGGGAAAAGAAAGCUAAUAGUUGCCUGCUUUAUCACUAGAUAUUUGAUAUCAUGAUAGAUAGAGUGAUAGUGGUGUAUCACUGUCUAUCAUGAUAGAGAGUGAUAGACCCUAUCACUAUCUAUGAAUGGUAGAUAGUGAGAUUUUUUUAUAAAUUUUUUUAUAUGUUAAUAUUAUAUUCAUAUCUUUCUUGCUAUAUAAAUAUAAAUA
Molecule: long non-coding RNA, 797 nt
Organism: Benincasa hispida (wax gourd)
Lineage: Eukaryota; Viridiplantae; Streptophyta; Magnoliopsida; Cucurbitales; Cucurbitaceae
Source: RefSeq, a predicted model, not a curated record